GUCGAACGAUGAACCACUUCGGUGGGGAUUAGUGGCGAACGGGUGAGUAACACGUGGGCAAUCUGCCCUGCACUCUGGGACAAGCCCUGGAAACGGGGUCUAAUACCGGAUAUGACCAUCUUGGGCAUCCUUGAUGGUGUAAAGCUCCGGCGGUGCAGGAUGAGCCCGCGGCCUAUCAGCUUGUUGGUGAGGUAACGGCUCACCAAGGCGACGACGGGUAGCCGGCCUGAGAGGGCGACCGGCCACACUGGGACUGAGACACGGCCCAGACUCCUACGGGAGGCAGCAGUGGGGAAUAUUGCACAAUGGGCGCAAGCCUGAUGCAGCGACGCCGCGUGAGGGAUGACGGCCUUCGGGUUGUAAACCUCUUUCAGCAGGGAAGAAGCGAAAGUGACGGUACCUGCAGAAGAAGCGCCGGCUAACUACGUGCCAGCAGCCGCGGUAAUACGUAGGGCGCAAGCGUUGUCCGGAAUUAUUGGGCGUAAAGAGCUCGUAGGCGGCUUGUCACGUCGGUUGUGAAAGCCCGGGGCUUAACCCCGGGUCUGCAGUCGAUACGGGCAGGCUAGAGUUCGGUAGGGGAGAUCGGAAUUCCUGGUGUAGCGGUGAAAUGCGCAGAUAUCAGGAGGAACACCGGUGGCGAAGGCGGAUCUCUGGGCCGAUACUGACGCUGAGGAGCGAAAGCGUGGGGAGCGAACAGGAUUAGAUACCCUGGUAGUCCACGCCGUAAACGGUGGGCACUAGGUGUGGGCAACAUUCCACGUUGUCCGUGCCGCAGCUAACGCAUUAAGUGCCCCGCCUGGGGAGUACGGCCGCAAGGCUAAAACUCAAAGGAAUUGACGGGGG
Molecule: ribosomal RNA, 843 nt
Filed under: actinobacterium CR146
Lineage: Bacteria; Bacillati; Actinomycetota; Actinomycetes
Description: bacterial SSU rRNA
Rfam family: Bacterial small subunit ribosomal RNA
Source: RNAcentral